This is a long non-coding RNA of Gorilla gorilla gorilla (western lowland gorilla), 6508 nucleotides long. RefSeq lists it as uncharacterized. The transcript has 5 exons. The record is from RefSeq and is a predicted model, not a curated record. Lineage: Eukaryota; Metazoa; Chordata; Mammalia; Primates; Hominidae.
GAAAUUGUUGUAAUAUAUACUGGUUUUGUUAGAACAAGAACUUCUAUUGCCGUCUACUAGAAAGUAAACAUACAAACUUAUGAUGACUACCAUGUGAAUAAAUCUUGACAUUAGAUGUUGUACCCUUGACAGCAUACAACUGCGCACCAUGCAUGGUGACCCUAGGCCCACACAUUGUAUAGAAGAAACACAUGAUUUGCCUAGAUGAACUUCGGAAAUGAAGGCUGAUUCCAAAACAGAAGCAAACUCUUCUUUAUCCAGCUUUCAUCAGUUAGGAGGAUUGCCUUACUCUCAGAGUAGUCUUCUUGAAACUCUCUCUUGCCCUCAUGAGAAGACACUAAGGAUCAUGUGAAAGAGCUCCCUGAGGACAGAUUAAGAGGAGAUGAGUUAAAGCUGCAAAUACCAAGAUUUAAGAUGAAAUUAAGAAUGCUGAUCAGCUAAAGGACCUCCACAUACAAAGGUUAUCCUGGAUUAUUCAGAAUUGACUGUGGAUGCUGGUAUUAUCUAGCCCUAUUUGCAUCACCUUGCGGGUACUGGGGUUUGGAGGAAUUGGCUCAGAUGCUGAUACCGUGGCUACUGCUAUUGUGGUCAGACAUGCCUUUCACCUUCUGCCAUGAUUGUGAGGCCUCCUCAGCCAUGUGAAACUGUGAGUCCAUUCAACCUCUUUUUCUCUAUAAAUUACCCAGUCUUGGGUAUAUUUUUAUCAGCAAUGUGAGAAGGGACUAAUUCUGGUAUGUUGAAAAUAUUUUGUGCUUUGGUGUGUCUUUCCACUUCUAUCAUUCCCCACACCUCCAUGAGCACAUUAUCAUUUCAUACGCCAAUCUACCUGUAGUUUACUGUUUUGACAUAGUUUUCUAAGGGCUAUUUAUUGUUGAUUAUGUUCUCUGAGCUUCGAGUUCCCUUCACUCUAGCUAAAUUCUUCUUACUCUUUGAAAUCUGGUUUAAGUGCCAUUUAUUUUGAAAGCCUUUCCCUAUCUAACCCCAAGAUAUGAUUCAUAUACUCCCUGUAUCUCUCAUCUGAAUACCUCCUUUGGACUCACAAUGUCUUUUGGUUUCUUGAUUAUAAUAUUUAUCACCAUAUCAUGACAUUUGACUCUCUUGUUUAGUUUAUAAAGUAGAGUGAGCCCCUUGAUGACAGGCUCUGGGUUUAUUCGUGCAGUAUUUCCAUGACCUGUAUUACAAAGUAGGCACUCAAUACCUGCUUGUGGAAUUAAUGAUGCUAUGGGACUCCACUCCUAGAAGUGAUCUGUUUUCAUUACUUUAGGAAGUCUGUUUUACCAAGGUGCUUUCUUCACAGUUGCGCUUUAUGGACUCUAGUCAUCAGGAAAUUAACUGCAGAGAACACGCACGCAGAACAUGAGGUUACCAAGGGUCAAGUGCAUGUGCAUGUUUUUGAUUUGGGCACAGGGAAGUUUAUGAGCCUUGUGAGCACAAUUUAGAAAUUCUCAGUUGUAUAUACUGCAGGUGAAAUACACUUUAUGUUGAAGCACGCGGUGAAUUAUUGAGAUUUGGCUAUUAAAGCAAUAGCCUCCUUUUCAAUCUAAGUUGAUGAUGCAAAUGAAAAACACAGCUAAAAAUAUCACUUAUGUCUGAAAAAGCCAGUCCAGAAAAUAAAAAGCAAUUAGCUUGAACGGCUGGAAACAGAUUUUGCCAGGAUCUGUAUUUACCAAUAUUUGAGUACAAUUGGUUCACAAUUUUGUACUUGGGGUAAUAGCAUCACUCAAGCCCAGAAGAGGAAAAUUUCUUUAUGCUAGGUAUUUUUCUAAGCAUUCCCUUUCUUCCCUCUUCUUCUUCCCCUCUCCUUCAAUCAUACACUUAGAAGUCUAUGAUAUAUAAUGUCAAGCAACUUUAAGGACCUAGGAGGAAAAGUAGGGAGAUAAUACCAUAAAUCAAAUAAAGCAGUCUCUGGGCUUAGGCUCUCUAAGUUUGAGUCCCAAAUUCAGUGUUACUGUGUGACCUUGGGGAAGUUACUUACCCUCUAUAUAUCUCAUUUUAAAAUGGGGUUAUAAAGAUAUAUUUUAGUGUUGUUGUACGAAUAAAUGACAUACUUGUAAAUUUCUUAGAAAAAUCCUUGGUAUGUCAUAAUUCUAUUACUCAUUUAUAGUUCUGAGGUCAAAUAUCAGUUUUGACUUUUGUAGAUGAUGAAAAAUAUUCCUUCCCACCUACCUUUCCACCAUGUACAGUGAAAAUUACACUGUCCUAUGAUUCACACCAGAAACAUAAAGAGUUAGCGCCAAGAUCGUCUGUGUGCCCUUUGAUUAAUGCUUCUUAAUACUUGUCAUCUCUACCUCCAUUCUAAAAUCCAACUUUUAGAUUUCAUUUAAGAAAGGGAGUGCCUAUGGCCAAUGAAGGAGUGUAUCCUUUCAUUACUAUUCUGCUUAAUUUCUGUGUCACUUGGUUUUUUUCCUAGAUUGUAUUCUCUCAAUUUCAAUGUAUAGCAACAUCAAACAAAAAAGCAGAAGUAAUUAGGUUUGUCAGUCCACAAGAAUUUUGGACCAAAUAUCCAUGAAGUGGUGGGUAGAUUAUAAUACCUAAUACAGAGUAUCAAAAUGAGUUCUUACAAUCCCACACGUAGUCUCCAUGUGGUAUGAGAUGCCACUGGCCUGAGCUGACGUAGUAUUUUUUAUAUGAAUGAAGGCUGUUCAAGGACUUGAGAAUAAUUUGUUUUAUUAUUUAAUAUAACCCCUGCCUCCAUUUUCUUUAUACUACACUCAGAUCAGUGAUGUCUCCUUUCAUGUGUUGUGUGAAAAGCAAAUUUUAGUCUUGUCUUGAUGAAUUAUAAAUUCCAAGAGUUCAGAGCAAAAAUGAGUAUAUAUGUAUGCUUCUGCACAUGCAUACUUAUGCUUAUAAAAAGUGACAACUGGCCAGGUGUGGUGCUCACACGUGUAAUCCUAGCACUUUGGGAGGUUGAGGCAGGUGGAUCACUUGAGGUCAGGAGUUUGAAACCAGCCUGGCCAACAUGGUGAAACCCCAUUUCUAUUAAAAAUACAAAAAAUAGCCAGGUGUGGUGGUGCAUGCCUAUAAUCCCAGCUACUCAGGAGGCCAAGACAUGAGAAUUGUUUGAACCCAGAGAACGCAGGUUGUAGUUGAGCAGAGAUCAUGCCACUGCACUCCAGCCUGGGCAGCAGAGUGAGACUCCAUCUCAAAAAAAAAUAAUAAAAAAAAAAAUAAAAAAGUGACAACCUGUGGAGACUUCUGUUUGCAAAUGAAAAUGUUAAACUGUUAAAAAAAAUUUUAUAUACCAUGCAAAAAGUAAACCAUUAAAGCUAGUGUUCUACAGAAAACCAAAUAGAUAUAAAAUAGACUUGUAGAAUCUAUUAUAAUAAUGGGUAGAACACCUGAACAAACACUUCAACAGGAUAAAUCUAUUAGGGGAAAUGUAAUAAAAUUUCCCUGUGGGAAUUCCUCUCUAAAUGAAAUUAUCAGGUCUAUUAAGUAAUAAAAGAGAAAGCUUAAAUAUCUAAGACUUUUAAAACUCUGAGAAUAUUUUAGACCAUGGCUAUCAAAACAGAGACUGUUGAACUGAAAAAUGCCUUAUACUGCAGAGAGAACUGGUUUAGAGGGUAGAGGAAAAAUAGUAGAGAGAAACAGUACUUUAUAUAAUUAAUAGUAUGGUAUGCUUAGAUUUAAAGGGAGGGAAAUGAAAGGGUGUACAUAUCCAGAAGCAAAGAAAGGUAGUCUCUUUUUCCAAAGCUGACUCAGUGCUUAUGGAGCUAAGUGUUUCACAGUUGGAGAAGUAGGAAGGCAAACUGCUAAGAGAACUAGGAACUACUCAUGCAUUGUCUAUUCCUGAAGGGUAGAAAGUGGAGUACUCCAAGGGUAUUGCUCUGUGAUCAUUAGGAGGGUUUGGAGUCAGAUAUCCUUGAGGGGGAGUCACCUUCCAUAGUCUGUAGCCAUUGGAAGUGUGUCAGUGCUUCCAACAAUAAAUCCACCUUAGCUCAGCUAUGCAGCAACCGAAAUAGCAUGCUACUGGUACAAAAACAGGCACAUAGACCAGUGGAACAGAAUAGAGAGCCCAGAAAUAAGGCUGCACACCUACGACCAUUUGAUUUUCAACAAAGCUGACAAAAACAAGCAGUGGGGAAAAGACUCCCCAGUCAAUAAAUAGUGCUGGGAUAACUGGCUAGCCAUAUGCAGAAGAUUGAAGCUGGACCCCUUCCUUACACUGUAUACAAAAUCAACUCAAGAGGGUUAAAGACUUAAAUGUAAAACCUAAAACUGUAAAAACCCUGGGAGACAACCUAGGCAAUACCAUCCUGGACAUAGGAACGGGCAAAGAUUUCAUAACAAAAAUGCCAAAAGCAAUUGUAAGAAAAGCGAAAAUUGAAAAAUGGGAUCUAAUCAAACUUAAGAGCUUCUGUUACAGCAAAGGAAACUACUUUACUUACCUAGCACGGGAGAUACUGUGAUCACAAAGGUGGUUUUCCCAGAGUAAGUCUCACCUAUUGCACUCUGGGUAUACUGGCCCCUGUGAUUUUACCAAAUGCAAGAAACUUGACUGCGUAAUUUGUGGUAGUGGGGGGACUGUGUUUGCGCUUUCCCUGUGUAUAUUGUUAAAUAAUUUUUUAUAAUUAAAUUAAAAUGAAAGAAACUAUCAACAGAGUGAACAGACAACCUACAGAAUGGGAGAAAAUAUUUGCAAACUAUGCUUUGAACAAAGGUCUAAUAUCCAGCAUCUGUAAGAAACUUAAAUUUACAAGAGAAAAACAACCCCAUUAAAAAGUGGGCAAAGGACAUGAACAGACACUUUUCAAAAGAAGACAUACAUGUGGCCAACGACCAUAUGAGAAAAAGCUCCACAUCACUGAUCAUUAGAGAAAUGCAAAUCAAAACCACCGUGAGAUACCAUCUCAUGCCAGUCAGAAUGGCUAUUAAUAAAAAAUAAAAAAAAUGGAUGUGGAGAAAAAGGAACACUUACACACUGUUGGUGGGAGUGUAAAUUAGUUCAGCCAUUGUGGAAAGCAGUAUGGUGAUUCCUCAAAGAGCUAAAAAUGGAACUACCAUUUGACCCAGCAAUCCCAUUGUCAUGGGAUCUUUAGGGUGCUGCUUUUCUGGCCAGAAACCUCUGUGGCUGGUGGUGCCUUUGCCUGAGUUUUGCUUGAGCCCACUGGGCUUGUUCUGCCCACUCAGCCUGGCGAGCUGUGCUUGGCUCAUGCUGCUGGCCUGGAUCCCAUCCCUGCCAAGGGUAAGCCAGGCAUGGAGCAGUGAGGGGUUUGUGAGUGAGCAUGGGUUUUGGGCACUGUGCAGUCAGACAGCAGCUACUGCAGUGGGGUGGGCAACUCCAGGUGCUGGCAUGGGCAGCUCCAGCUCUCUGCGAGGCUGUGACUGGACCAGGUGUACUGCAAGCAACUUCCACCGCUGGCACUGGAAACAUGGUGGCACCCAGAAGCUUGGAGAUGCCAGGAACCACAGGGCCCCAAAGAGGGAGUCACAGCCCUGGCUCAGGGAACUCCCAGGUCUGGGCUCCCUGAAGGGCCGCAGCUCUUCUGUCCUUCUCUUCACCCAUGACAUGGUAAGCAAGGGGCAUGUUUCAGCUUUGUUUGUGUUACAGCUCUUUUAUUCCCGCUAUUUGAGAGGUCCUGAGUUCUUGUCCUGUGACCAGGAAGAAUGAGGUACACAGAUAAGUGGAGGGUGAACAAGAAGAGGAGCUUUGUUUAGCAAUAGAACAGCUCAGAGGAGAGCAGCAGUGAGUAGCUCCUUUCCACAGCCAGGGUGGCCCAGUGAGUGUUUAGCUCCUAGCAGAGGGUAGACCUUGUAGUGGGAAGCUCAUCUCAGCAGGCAGGUUGUCCCAUUGUCUCUGAAGCUCUCAAUAGAGAGGAGGCCCUGGAGUGGGUUGCUCCUUUCUGCAGGCAGGUUGUCCUGACAUCUGCGGCUCUCAGCAGAGAGGAGGCCCUGGAGUGGGUAGCUCCUCUCUGCAGCUGGUUGUCCCAACAUCUGCUCACCUCUGGCUGAGCCCAGGGCUUUUAUGGGCCUCAAAGGGGAAGAAGUGAGUACUGAUUGGUCCAUGGGUGGGCAUGGGCAGACCUGGAAAAGGCACCAAAAGUUUCUACUCUGGUCUGCAAGACUGGGUCUUCAGGCCCACCCAUGGCCUGAAGGUGGAGCCUCACUGGGAACCCACCUCCUUCUGCCCAGGAGCCUGUCUGCCUCCCACUGCUUUUCAGGAUCUUCGAGCCAAGGGGCGCCUACAGGCCAGUGCUGAGCUGCCCUCAGCCCCUACCUCGGCUUCCCUCCUAUGCUUGUCAGUGCCCAAAGUCUGGAGAGGGACAAGACAGCAGGGAGCUGGUGAGUCAGAACUGCCCUGAGCAUGUGCACAUCUUGCUGGGCUGUGACAUUGCCUGGGCUCAGCCCUGACUUCGCUCCAAGAUCAGAGUGGGUGCCAACAGCAGGAGAAGCCAGGUAGUGGGAGAAGGCACUUCUGAGCCUGUGAGGGCAGGGUGGGUCUUCCUGGGCCCCAAAAGCACAGGGAGGCCUGGGUUCACAGCUGCUGUUUGGGUGGCUGCAGCCAUGC